Molecule: unclassified non-coding RNA, 145 nt
Filed under: uncultured Helotiales
Lineage: Eukaryota; Fungi; Ascomycota; Leotiomycetes; Helotiales
Description: sequence contains ITS2
Source: RNAcentral
UAACCCUUCAAGCCUGGCUUGGUGUUGAGGCCUGCGGUCACCGGCAGCCUCUAAAAUCAGUGGCGGCGCCCUCGGGCUCUGAGCGUAGUAAUCUUUCUCGCUACAGAGCCCCGGUGGGUGCUAGCCAUCAACCCCUUCUUUCUCU